RNAcentral lists this long non-coding RNA (368 nucleotides) under Haliotis rubra (blacklip abalone). Its description in RNAcentral is "uncharacterized LOC124267489, transcript variant X5". Lineage: Eukaryota; Metazoa; Mollusca; Gastropoda; Lepetellida; Haliotidae. The record is from RNAcentral.
ACCUUCUUUCACAUAACUUGUAUUUUUCACUCAGCUAUAUUUAGAAGCUGUUGAACUAGUUAGAAGGGAGUGUUAUGCAUGCAGACAUUAUUUAUUGAGCUAGCCGGUUACACCCGACCACUGUAGUGACGGAACCUGACAAGCUGAAAUCUCAGCAGAAUUCACCGAAGUACCAGACGACAGGAAUGAUGAAGAUAAUUUGUGCUGCAGUAUUAUAUCUGAGUGCAGGUUUUGUAUCAGGUGCACCCAGUGCCAGUCCAGUGUUGUCUGCAGUGUCUGACACAGCCAAGUUCAGCUGGGAGAUUCCACAGGGGGAGGUCUGGGGAUAGGGAGUUCUUUCUUUGCUGUCAGUCCUGCCGGUACUGCUG